RNAcentral lists this transfer RNA (98 nucleotides) under Bacillota bacterium. RNAcentral describes it as "Firmicutes bacterium (anaerobic digester metagenome) tRNA-Sec". It matches the Rfam family "Selenocysteine transfer RNA". Lineage: Bacteria; Bacillati; Bacillota. The record is from RNAcentral.
GGGAGUAGAAGUCUGUCUGGUGUGGACCCCGGACUUCAAAUCCGGUGGAACGUGGUGACCCCGCGUUUGGUGGGUUCGAUUCCCACCUACUCCCGCCA